Molecule: transfer RNA, 72 nt
Filed under: Felis catus (domestic cat)
Lineage: Eukaryota; Metazoa; Chordata; Mammalia; Carnivora; Felidae
Rfam family: tRNA
About the family: Transfer RNA (tRNA) molecules are approximately 80 nucleotides in length. Their secondary structure includes four short double-helical elements and three loops (D, anti-codon, and T loops).
Source: Rfam by way of RNAcentral
GCGUGGCUGGCUCAGUGGUAGAGCAUGUGACUCUUGAUCUCAGGAUCAUGAAUUCAAACCCCACGUUGGGCG